GACGAACGCUGGCGGCGUGCCUAACACAUGCAAGUCGAACGGGGCCCGCAAGGGUUCAGUGGCGAACGGGUGCGUAACACGUGAAGAACUUGUCCAUCGGCGGGGGAUAGCCGGCCCAACGGCCGGGUAAUACCGCGUACGCCGGCUGGAGCGCAUGCUCUGGCCGGGAAAGCAGCAAUGCACCGAUGGAGAGCUUCGCGGCCUAUCAGCUAGUUGGCGGGGUCACGGCCCACCAAGGCGACGACGGGUAGCUGGUCUGAGAGGAUGACC
Molecule: ribosomal RNA, 270 nt
Filed under: uncultured bacterium
Lineage: Bacteria
Description: partial 16S ribosomal RNA
Rfam family: Bacterial small subunit ribosomal RNA
Source: RNAcentral